Molecule: ribosomal RNA, 230 nt
Filed under: uncultured microorganism
Description: partial 16S ribosomal RNA
Rfam family: Bacterial small subunit ribosomal RNA
Source: RNAcentral
UACGUAGGGUGCGAGCGUUGUCCGGAAUUAUUGGGCGUAAAGAGCUUGUAGGCGGCUUGUCGCGUCUGCUGUGAAAACCCGGGGCUUAACCCCGGGCUUGCAGUGGGUACGGGCAGGCUAGAGUGUGGUAGGGGAGACUGGAAUUCCUGGUGUAGCGGUGGAAUGCGCAGAUAUCAGGAGGAACACCGAUGGCGAAGGCAGGUCUCUGGGCCAUUACUGACGCUGAGAAG